RNAcentral lists this unclassified non-coding RNA (4023 nucleotides) under Chelonus insularis. RNAcentral's name for it is "cCR4-NOT transcription complex subunit 1-like, transcript variant X2". The record is from RNAcentral. Lineage: Eukaryota; Metazoa; Arthropoda; Insecta; Hymenoptera; Braconidae.
UAUAUUUUGCACAAUGUCGCUGACCUUUUCAAUCAGUAGCUAUCAGAAAUCAGGCAAAUUAUUUUUAUUUUCACGAUAUUUCUUCGUUUGAAAAAUCUGAGUGUGUUUAUUUAUUAAUUAAUUUAGUUAGAAAAUUUUAUAUAUGAAAAUAAUUAAUACAAUUGUACCGUGUAAAUACGACCUUCGUCAUGAUGAUAUGAUAAAAGAAAAGAAAAUGAUACCUCCAACGAUUUUACAAACUAGAAUUGACAUUAUUUUUAAUAACCUAAAUCGAAAUAAUUUCAAACAAAAAUGUCAUGAAAUUAAAGCUAUUUUGAUUGAUGAUUAUUGGCCAUGGAUUGCACAGCAUUUGGUAUCCAAAUGUGUAACCGCAGGAUUGAACUUUCAUUUAUUAUAUUCUGAUUUCCUCGACUACCUCAAAAUGCCAGAAGUGCAUAAAAUGGUUGCCCAAGAAACUUACAAGCAAAUUGAAGAUUUAUUACCAAACGAAGAAAAAUCUGUUAACGUUUUCGAUCGAUCUUCGAUCAAAAACUUAGGUCGAUGGCUAGGAAUUCGAACAUUAAGAAAAAAUAAACCAAUACUCCAAGCUGAUGUUGACAUAAAAGGUUUACUUGUUGAAGCAUACUAUAAAAGCCAGCAUGAAAUUCUUUACAUAAUAUCUUUUGUGACUAAAAUUCUUGAAAACUGUGCUCAAAGUCGAAUUUUUCAACCUCCUAAUCCUUGGACAAUGGGUAUCAUAAAUAUUCUGGUUGAAUUACUUCAAGAUCCGAACCUCACACUGACAGCAAAAUUUGAGAUUGAAAUUUUAUGCAAAGCUUUAAAAAUCAAAACUUCAGAAGUUCGACCGAAAAAUUAUCUAAAAAAUUCUGAAAACUUCAGAUUUUUACCACCUCAAUUAUUUGAUAGCCAGACACAAAACUUAUAUCAAGGUCCUGUAAAACAAAAUGCUGAAAAUACAUUAGUUCAAAGAGCAGCUUCUGAACCAGUCCGAUUUAUUGAUACAAUUCCAAUUCUUCCUACAAUCAUUACUGAACAUUUUGUGAUAGAUAAUCAAUUAACAUUUUUUCAAUCCUAUCAAGACUUAAAACAACUAGUUAAACCUGCAAUAGAGAACACUAUUCAGGAAUGGGUCAAUCGAGUUGAUAACAAAUCACUUCAGAUAGCCUUGAGAACGACUGAGCAUAUUAUUCGCAAAGAUUUUGCUUUAGAUUCGAAUGUAAACCGAAUGAAAAUAGCAGCACGACAAAUGGUGAAGACUUUGGCUGCAGCAAUGGGAAUGACAGCCUGCACGAGUGAAAUUUUAACAUCAAUCACCGAUAAUUUAAAGCAGCUCUUCAUAUCUGUAUUCACAGGGCCAAACCAGCCACCAAGAGAUCUUAUAAAUCAGACAGCCAACAUAGUAGCGGCUAAUAAUUUGGAGCUAACUCGUGCCUUUAUUCAAAAGAGUACAAUUCAAAAGGCUGUAUUCGAAAUUGACAGAAGAUUAUUUAAGGAGAUACAACUUAGAGAAAAUGCUCGUCGAAAUGGAGUAUGUUAUUUUAAUUCACAAGCCAUAUGUCAAGCAGAAAGAAUGCCAGAACGAAUUCGAUUGAGGACUAAUGGUGUAACUUCACAACAAAUGAUAGUGUAUGAAACGUUUGAAAAGAGUUUCUUCAAUUUUCUAUUACUUGAUCGAGCACCACUUGUUCCAAGUGGCCCACUUGAACUCAGAAUCGAUCAAAAAUUAGAUCGCAAUAACAAUAACCCAAUUAUUUUGGCAAGAACGAAAUUUUUACUACAAAAAUGGAUGAGAAUAUAUCAAUGCCCUCAAUAUAAAAAUAAUUCCAUCAAAAAAUUCGAAAUGUUUAUUCAUGAAAUGAAUGCUCAGGAAAUUUUGAUAUCAGACGAUUCUUUAAUGGAGUUUUUUAAGAUGAGCAUACAAUUGAGUAUAGAUGACUCCUAUCAUGUUUUAACAAAUUUUAAGUCAAUGACAGCAGAUGAACGCAAUCAAUAUGUUUUACGUCUUGAUGCCUUUAUUCUAUUGAUAUUUGUGUUUUUCAAACACUAUGGUGACGAAACAAAUAUUUCGACAAAAAUUAAUUUACUCAACAAACAACUUGAAAUAAUUGUUGAAAUUUUACUGAAAGAUUAUGAAAAACAAGGAGUUAAUUUCCUGCAGUUUCCAUAUUAUCAUAUUUUCAUUUCACUUAUCUCACAAUUAUGUCUGCCUCAGUCUUUUCUGGAAGUAAUUGAUUAUCAAAUUAUAACGUCACUUGGCAAUAUUUUGCAUAUCUUACGACCAGAAAGAGUUCCUGGAUUUGCUGUAUCUUGGUUGAGGAUUAUAUCUCACGGCGAUUUUAUUGGAAGAAUAAUAUCUUUAAGGUCUCAAAAAAAAUGUCGAAAAAUGUAUGCUCGAUUAUUAUCUGAUCUAUUCAGAUAUUUAGCACCAUACAUUCAUCAACCUAUGAUAACUAAUUGUGUUUGGGUGUUGUAUGAAGAAACCAUAGGUAUACUUUCAAAGCUACUACGUGAUUUUCCUGACGUUCUUUCAGAUUACUAUUACGAAUUCUGUGAUAUUUUACCUCUGAAUUGUCUACACAUGAAAAAUAUAAUUCUUAGUGCACUACCAAACAAUGUAACAUCAUCAAAUAUGAUAAUUAGAAUACAUCCUGAAAUAGUUCAUGCUCUCUGUACAAUUCAACCAUUAAGUUUUAAAAGAGAUUUAGAUUUAUAUUUAAAUAAUUAUGAAUCGAGCAAUUUUGUUAUUGGACUUAAGAAUAGACUUUAUGGAGUACAAACUGGAACUCGCUAUAACAUUCAAUUGAUCAAUGCUUUGGUUUUUUAUUUAGGAAUUCAAGCAAUGGCUACAUUAUUUAAUAAAGGUCAUGUAGUUGAUAUAAUGAAAAUAAAGAAUUCUGCACACAUGACAGUUUUUCGAAGUCUAUUGGAAGAUUUUGAUACUGAAGGACGUAUUAUACUUUUGAAUUCAAUUGCUAAUCAUUUACGUUAUGACAAUGUUUACACUCGUUAUUUUAGUUUUAUAAUACUUAGCCUCUUUCUUGAGUUCAAAAAUAACGUAGUGCAAGAACAAAUAACUGAAGUGCUUGUUGAACGACUAGCAGUCAAUAAACCUUAUCCUUGGGGUUUAGUUCGUACUUUUGCAGAACUUAUUAAAAAUCCUAUUUAUGAAUUUCAUUCUCAAAAGUUUAACGACUGCACUGAGGAAUUCAAAAGGUCAUUGAAUUUUGUAAUGGGAUCACUUGGGUUACAAAAUCAAAUUGGAACAUAGAGAUACGAAUGAAAGAUUUUUGUGAAUUGAAACAUAUCACUCUAAAUGAAAUUAAGUGAAUUUUGUGUACAGAGAGUCACUAAUUGUGUAUCUAGAAAAUAUUUGUAUAUAUUGAAAUUGUAUUACUCUGAAAAUUAGUAUAAAUUAUUUUUAUACAAGUACUUUUUGUAAAGAGUACAAGAAUGAAUGAAUGAAUGAAUUUUUUUAAAAUUUACCCACUUAGCCAUCAAUGUUAUUAAAAAUUCUUAGGUUAUGUAAAUAUUGAAUGAAUCGAUAAAAGGAACAAAAUAUAGUUCUCUCUAGAAAUUGAUGGUUUUUGAUGACAAUUUUCUUGAUAAAAAAUGAAAAAGAUUUUUACACAGAUAUCGUCAACAAGCAGCUGCACACACAGUAUUAAAUGAAAAUUAUCCCAAGAGAGAAGAUGAAAUAACAACUAGGUUCACUGAGCCAACAGUAACGACCAUGUAUAAUAAUGAAGAACCAUCUCUUGGAUUGUUUCCUGCAACAGAAUUACCUACGGAAACUCUGACACCUAAUCAAAUUUCUAAGGACGUUGAUGACGAUGUUCCAAUGAUGACAUUACUCAAGCAAGGUCUAAUGCUAUUGAAUUUUGAACAUCGAUCUGCAUUGGUGCAAAAUUUUCUGAACAAAAUUGAGAUAGCAAAAUCACAAUUGAUAAACAAUUCAGAGGAAUAUAUGUAAUAUUCAUAACAGAUUUUUUUUUGAAGAGAAAAGAUCAGUGAAUUAAAAAGUAU